Molecule: ribosomal RNA, 243 nt
Filed under: uncultured bacterium
Lineage: Bacteria
Description: partial 16S ribosomal RNA
Rfam family: Bacterial small subunit ribosomal RNA
Source: RNAcentral
UGGGUAACCUGCCUCAAAGAGGGGAAUAGCCUCCCGAAAGGGAGAUUAAUACCGCAUAAUAUGUUUAAGUCGCAUGACUUUAACAUCAAAGGAUUUUCUUUUAGAAAUUCCACUUUGAGAUGGACCCGCGGCGCAUUAGCUAGUUGGUGAGGUAACGGCUCACCAAGGCGACGACGGGUAGCUGGUCUGAGAGGAUGGCCAGCCACAUUGGGACUGAGACACGGUCCAGACUCCGUAGGGAGG